Molecule: ribosomal RNA, 285 nt
Filed under: uncultured soil bacterium
Lineage: Bacteria
Description: partial 16S ribosomal RNA
Rfam family: Bacterial small subunit ribosomal RNA
Source: RNAcentral
AGGACGAACGCUGGCGGCGUGCUUAACACAUGCAAGUCGAGCGGAAAGGCCACUUCGGUGGUACUCGAGCGGCGAACGGGUGAGUAACACGUGAGUAAUCUGCCCCCCACUUCGGGAUAGCCACCGGAAACGGUGAUUAAUACCGGAUAUGACGCAUCUUCGCAUGUUGGUGUGUGGAAAGUUUUUCGGUGGGGGAUGUGCUCGCGGCCUAUCAGCUUGAUGGUGAGGUAAUGGCUCACCAGUGGCUUCGGACGGGUAGCCGGCCUGAGAGGGUGACCGGUCACA